CAUCCUGACUGUCCGGACAGACACCAGUCACCGGAACAGUAGAAUGCAUAGACUGCUUAAUAUAGGGUUUUUACAGAGAGAGAGAGAGCAUGUGAUGAAGUAAACAAGUUUUUUACCAACAUGAAAAAUUUUGAGAGCUCAUUUGGUGGUAUUUGUUAGACUACUUUUAGCAACUCUUCUGAGUGUUUAAUAAUAGAAUAUUUGAAAUCAAAAUAUUUUUACUGGUGCGACUGUUUAGCAUCUUUUGAGGCAUGUGAACAAAUUAUGCAUAUAUAAUGAAUCAGUAUUAUAUGUUGCAUGUUCCCUGAAGAAAAUUCAAUUAUGAUCAAGUUCUGAUCAGGCUUACCAUAAAUUGUAUAGUUUUCUUCUUUUUCUUCUUGUUAAAACUUGUAUUUUAUGUUCUCCAGCUCCAAAUGGAAACACUGCAGAGUCGG
RNAcentral lists this unclassified non-coding RNA (434 nucleotides) under Hevea brasiliensis (rubber tree). Lineage: Eukaryota; Viridiplantae; Streptophyta; Magnoliopsida; Malpighiales; Euphorbiaceae. The record is from RNAcentral.